CAUCAACCCUGUGAACUUACCUAAACGUUGCUUCGGCGGGAAUAGACGGCCCUGUAAAACGGGCCGCCCCCGCCAGAGGACUCUUAACUCUGUUUCUUAUAAUGUUUCUUCUGAGUAAAACAAGCAAAUAAAUUAAAACUUUCAACAACGGAUCUCUUGGCUCUGGCAUCGAUGAAGAACGCAGCGAAAUGCGAUAAGUAAUGUGAAUUGCAGAAUUCAGUGAAUCAUCGAAUCUUUGAACGCACAUUGCGCCCGCCAGUAUUCUGGCGGGCAUGCCUGUUCGAGCGUCAUUACAACCCUCAGGCCCCCGGGCCUGGCGUUGGGGAUCGGCGGAGCGCCCCUCGUGGGCGCACGCCGUCCCCCAAAUACAGUGGCGGUCCCGCCGCAGCUUCCAUCGCGUAGUAGCUAACACCUCGCGACUGGAGAGCGGCGCGGCCACGCCGUAAAACACCCCAACUCUUCUGAAGUUGACCUCGAAUCAGGUAGGAAUACCCGCUGAACUUAAGCAUAUCAAUAAGCGGAGGAAAAGAAACCAACAGGGAUUGCCCCAGUAACGGCGAGUGAAGCGGCAACAGCUCAAAUUUGAAAUCUGGCUCUCGGGCCCGAGUUGUAAUUUGUAGAGGAUGCUUUUGGUGAGGUGCCUUCCGAGUUCCCUGGAACGGGACGCCAUAGAGGGUGAGAGCCCCGUCUGGUUGGACGCCGAACCUCUGUAAAGCUCCUUCGACGAGUCGAGUAGUUUGGGAAUGCUGCUCUAAAUGGGAGGUAUAUGUCUUCUAAAGCUAAAUACCGGCCAGGGACCGAUAGCGCACAAGUAGAGUGAUCGAAAGAUGAAAAGAACUUUGAAAAGAGAGUUAAACAGUACGUGAAAUUGUUGAAAGGGAAGCGCUUGUGACCAGACUUGGGCUUGGUUGAUCAUCCGGGGUUCUCCCCGGUGCACUCUUCCGGCCCAGGCCAGCAUCAGUUCGCCCUGGGGGACAAAGGCUUCGGGAACGUGGCUCUCUCCGGGGAGUGUUAUAGCCCG
RNAcentral lists this ribosomal RNA (1021 nucleotides) under Fusarium sp. FSSC. RNAcentral's name for it is "eukaryotic LSU rRNA". The stretch from base 469 to 1021 matches the Rfam family "Eukaryotic large subunit ribosomal RNA", at positions 1 to 565 of the family's 3401-position model. Lineage: Eukaryota; Fungi; Ascomycota; Sordariomycetes; Hypocreales; Nectriaceae. The record is from RNAcentral.